CAUCUCUCUCCUCCCCCUCCUCUUCUCCCCCCCACCUCUUCCUCCCUCAACAGGCAGCCGCUACAGCCUUGCUCUUCUCCCUAGCCCUUCCUGCUCCCCAUACUCGCCUACCUACCCUAGCCACUGCUCCCUACCUCAACUUCCUUUCCAAACUACUGAAUGCUGUCCUCCUUAUCCAGAUACCCAGUAGAGGGAGAGUUUAAAUGGUUUUUCCAUAAACUAUCCUGCUCCCCCUCCCUUCUUCUCCCCACGGGUUCCAAACAGGCAUUGAUCACCCCAGAAUUUCCAGGGAAGACCCCACUGUCCUUUUCUCCCACUCUCUUCUUCCUCACAAGCAGCCUGGAACUGAGGUGGUCCCGAGGACCCCAGGACAAAAGUUGGACUGUGAGAGACCCCACCCUGCCCUCAGGAAUCUCUUUGUCCCCCACUUGGGCUUGCGGAGAGCGACCUGGAGGGGAAAACCCAGACUUCGGACAGAAGGCGGGAGAGCGCCAGGCUGUUUCUACCCGGCAUCUCAUUAACCUUCUUCCCGGGUGAAGACUGUAUGGCCGGUGAAAAUGCAGCUCAGGGCUCUGCCAGAUGCCCACGAACACAGAGUUACUAAGCACGAGAUUCUGGAUGGUGGAGAGGCUUCCUAAUGCCCUUGGAAUCUGGUACAGUGAAAGUAACAAAGGACUAGGAAUCAAUAGACUUGGGUUUAAGUCCCAGCUCUGUCACUGAGUGACCUUGGGUGAGUCCCUUACCC
This is a long non-coding RNA of Zalophus californianus (California sea lion), 745 nucleotides long. RefSeq lists it as uncharacterized. Lineage: Eukaryota; Metazoa; Chordata; Mammalia; Carnivora; Otariidae. The transcript has 3 exons. The record is from RefSeq and is a predicted model, not a curated record.